UGGGGAAUUUUGGACAAUGGGGGAAACCCUGAUCCAGCCAUCCCGCGUGUGCGAUGAAGGCCUUCGGGUUGUAAAGCACUUUUGGCAGGAAAGAAACGUCAUGGGUUAAUACCCCGUGAAACUGACGGUACCUGCAGAAUAAGCACCGGCUAACUACGUGCCAGCAGCCGCGGUAAUACGUAGGGUGCAAGCGUUAAUCGGAAUUACUGGGCGUAAAGCGUGCGCAGGCGGUUCGGAAAGAAAGAUGUGAAAUCCCAGAGCUCAACUUUGGAACUGCAUUUUUAACUACCGGGCUAGAGUGUGUCAGAGGGAGGUGGAAUUCCGCGUGUAGCAGUGAAAUGCGUAGAUAUGCGGAGGAACACCGAUGGCGAAGGCAGCCUCCUGGGAUAACACUGACGCUCAUGCACGAAAGCGUGGGGAGCAAACCGG
RNAcentral lists this ribosomal RNA (429 nucleotides) under Acidobacteriota bacterium. RNAcentral describes it as "Acidobacteria bacterium partial 16S ribosomal RNA". It matches the Rfam family "Bacterial small subunit ribosomal RNA", at positions 355 to 776 of the family's 1533-position model. Lineage: Bacteria; Pseudomonadati; Acidobacteriota. The record is from RNAcentral.